UGGCGGCCACAGACCAAAGAAGACUUCAGGUGGCUUCAGGGACAAGAAACAGAGACAGUGGCACUGCGGACCCCUUGAGUUCUCGCUGUCACCAUUCCUGAGGGCCCUGGCCCAGGUGCUCCAGAGCCCACAGACGGGAAUCCUGGAAAAGCAGAGCGAGAAUCCUUCCCCGAGUUAGCUCUCCCACGUUCCCGCAGCCCACUCGGGAGAGGAAGGGAGAGAGAAAGAGUGCGAGCAGGGGAGAG
Long non-coding RNA from Suricata suricatta (meerkat), 245 nucleotides. RefSeq lists it as uncharacterized. The transcript is spliced from 3 exons. NCBI's taxonomy places the organism in Eukaryota, Metazoa, Chordata, Mammalia, Carnivora, Herpestidae. The record is from RefSeq and is a predicted model, not a curated record.